UGCCCUGCGCAUGGCGUCGGCGAACGAGC
This 29-nucleotide small RNA is filed under the name Bombyx mori (domestic silkworm). RNAcentral's name for it is "piRNA piR-bmo-1875756". Lineage: Eukaryota; Metazoa; Arthropoda; Insecta; Lepidoptera; Bombycidae. The record is from RNAcentral.